This 433-nucleotide ribosomal RNA is filed under the name uncultured bacterium. RNAcentral describes it as "partial 16S ribosomal RNA". It matches the Rfam family "Bacterial small subunit ribosomal RNA", at positions 29 to 507 of the family's 1533-position model. The record is from RNAcentral.
AACGAACGCUGGCGGCAUGCCUAACACAUGCAAGUCGAACGAGACCUUCGGGUCUAGUGGCGCACGGGUGCGUAACGCGUGGGAAUCUGCCCUUGGGUUCGGAAUAACGGUGAGAAAUUACUGCUAAUACCGGAUGAUGUCUUCGGACCAAAGAUUUAUCGCCCAGGGAUGAGCCCGCGUAGGAUUAGCUAGUUGGUGGGGUAAUGGCCUACCAAGGCGACGAUCCUUAGCUGGUCUGAGAGGAUGAUCAGCCACACUGGGACUGAGACACGGCCCAGACUCCUACGGGAGGCAGCAGUGGGGAAUAUUGGACAAUGGGCGCAAGCCUGAUCCAGCAAUGCCGCGUGAGUGAUGAAGGCCUUAGGGUUGUAAAGCUCUUUUACCCGGGAUGAUAAUGACAGUACCGGGAGAAUAAGCUCCGGCUAACUCCGUG